Molecule: ribosomal RNA, 924 nt
Filed under: bacterium
Lineage: Bacteria
Description: bacterial SSU rRNA
Rfam family: Bacterial small subunit ribosomal RNA
Source: RNAcentral
UUGACGGAGAGUUUGAUCCUGGCUCAGGACGAACGCUGGCGGCGUGCCUAACACAUGCAAGUCGAACGAGGUCGCCUUCGGGCAAUGACCAAGUGGCGAACGGGUGCGUAACACGUGAGAAACCUGCCCCGAAGACUGGGACAACCACGGGAAACUGUGGCUAAUACCAGAUGCCCUCCGCUGAUCGCAUGAUCGGCAGAGGAAAUGCUCCGGCGCUUCGGGAGGGUCUCGCGGCCUAUCAGCUUGUUGGUGAGGUAACGGCUCACCAAGGCAUCGACGGGUAGCUGGUCUGAGAGGACGAUCAGCCACACUGGGACUGAGACACGGCCCAGACUCCUGCGGGAGGCAGCAGUGGGGAAUCUUGCGCAAUGGGCGAAAGCCUGACGCAGCAACGCCGCGUGGGGGAUGAAGGCUCUCGGGUUGUAAACCCCUUUCAGCAGGGACGAAAUUGACGGUACCUGCAGAAGAAGCCCCGGCCAACUACGUGCCAGCAGCCGCGGUGACACGUAGGGGGCGAGCGUUGUCCGGAAUUAUUGGGCGUAAAGAGCUCGUAGGCGGUUUAGUAAGUCAGAUGUGAAAGGUUGGGGCUCAACCCUAAGACUGCAUCCGAUACUGCUAUGACUAGAGUCCGGUAGAGGAGUGUGGAAUUCCUGGUGUAGCGGUGAAAUGCGCAGAUAUCAGGAGGAACACCGACGGCGAAGGCAGCACUCUGGGCCGGUACUGACGCUCAGGAGCGAAAGCGUGGGUAGCAAACAGGAUUAGAUACCCUGGUAGUCCACGCCGUAAACGUUGGGCACUAGGUGUGGGGCCUUAUCAACGGGUUCCGUGCCGUAGCUAACGCAUUAAGUGCCCCGCCUGGGGAGUACGGCCGCAAGGCUAAAACUCAAAGGAAUUGACGGGGGCCCGCACAAGCAGCGGAGCGUG